CAGGAUCGUAGUUUAAAUAAAACAUCCGCAUUGGAAGCUGAAAAUCAGGUGUAAAUGCCUGCGUCUUGA
RNAcentral lists this transfer RNA (69 nucleotides) under Conus quercinus. Its description in RNAcentral is "tRNA-Pro". Lineage: Eukaryota; Metazoa; Mollusca; Gastropoda; Neogastropoda; Conidae. The record is from RNAcentral.